GGCUGCAUACGAUCGUGUGGGGACCAAGGACAGCAUAAUGAUUCGUGUCCCUGACCACACAGUCACUGCCCAUCUGUGUGACAUCACUGGGCCUUUGGCUAUCACAUCUGCAAAUCCAAGUGGUGAACCUGACAGCACACAUCAUGACAUGGUUAUUAAGCGCCUUGGACACAAGAUCCAAGGAGUACUGUGUGAUGGGCAGUCCAAUGAGCUGGUAGGCUCAACUGUGGUCAACUGCCUGAAAAUUGAUGAAGGUACCAUACAUUUCCUGCGAGAAGGUUGUGUCCCUGCAACAAAGGUGCAGCAAAUUUUUGAGAGGGUGAAAAACAGCAUGUUAUAAGAAAUUAAGCUACAGCAUCAAAGCAUACAAACUUUAAUUUAACUACAGUGUAAAAACUAUGGUGAUAAAAAGGCAAAAUGUCUGACAGAUUAUUGGUAAUAAAUUUAAAAGUGA
Long non-coding RNA from Clarias gariepinus (North African catfish), 454 nucleotides. RefSeq lists it as uncharacterized. The record is from RefSeq and is a predicted model, not a curated record. NCBI's taxonomy places the organism in Eukaryota, Metazoa, Chordata, Actinopteri, Siluriformes, Clariidae. The transcript has 3 exons.